This 229-nucleotide ribosomal RNA is filed under the name uncultured bacterium. RNAcentral describes it as "partial 16S ribosomal RNA". It matches the Rfam family "Bacterial small subunit ribosomal RNA", at positions 107 to 334 of the family's 1533-position model. The record is from RNAcentral.
UGAGUAACACGUAUCCAACCUGCCGUCUACUCUUGGCCAGCCUUCUGAAAGGAAGAUUAAUCCAGGAUGGCAUCAUGAGUUCACAUGUCCGCAUGAUUAAAGGUAUUUUCCGGUAGACGAUGGGGAUGCGUUCCAUUAGAUAGUAGGCGGGGUAACGGCCCACCUAGUCAACGAUGGAUAGGGGUUCUGAGAGGAAGGCCCCCCACAUUGGAACUGAGACACGGUCCAA